This 253-nucleotide ribosomal RNA is filed under the name uncultured bacterium. RNAcentral describes it as "partial 16S ribosomal RNA". It matches the Rfam family "Bacterial small subunit ribosomal RNA", at positions 524 to 776 of the family's 1533-position model. The record is from RNAcentral.
UACGUAGGGUGCGAGCGUUAAUCGGAAUUACUGGGCGUAAAGAGUGCGUAGGCGGUUCUUUGUGUCCGCUGUGAAAGCCCCGGGCUUAACCUGGGAAUGGCAGUGGAAACUAGAGAACUUGAAUCUGGCAGAGGGGGGUGGAAUGCCACAUGUAGCAGUGAAAUGCGUAGAUAUGUGGCGGAACACCGAUGGCGAAGGCAGCCCCCUGGGCUGAGAUUGACGCUCAGGCACGAAAGCGUGGGGAGCAAACAGG